UAGGCGAGUGAGUCUGUCACAGAGACCUC
This 29-nucleotide non-coding RNA is filed under the name Mus musculus (house mouse). The record is from RNAcentral. Lineage: Eukaryota; Metazoa; Chordata; Mammalia; Rodentia; Muridae.